UGUAGUCUGUCUAAAUGUCCAUUUUAAUUGCCUGCAGAUAUUGUUGGUGACGUGUUUUGGAGGUAAACGUUUGUCUUAGUAUUUUUGUCAAUCGUGCUAUGCAACUCCUUGAUAAAUUGGUUAUCCACGGCGUGGAACCACGGGUUAUUGCAGCUACCAAUAUCAAUCCAAAAUUGGCUGGAGGUAUGCAUGUCCUGGAUUAGUAAUAUGAUUUAUAGUUUUACAUACUAAAUCUUUGACCUUAUUGCAGGACGUCCUUUCCUAAAUCCAGCCUCAGUAACCCUUUUCUAAUUUGCCGGUGAGUGUGAGGCCAUCACAAGUUGCAUCUAGGGGUAAGAGUUUAUGCAUUUAGUAUUUUUAUCAUUUUUGUAAAGGUUUUAUUAUGUGUAGACCCAUCGUUUUUCCUUUUAUUCAUGUUGGUGAACAUUGAUGAGGGUUCUUCCUCUUCACCCAAAAAAUUUACAGUGGUCAAAAAUUUCGAAUCAUUGAGUGUUUUGGAACUGAAUUCAUUUGUCCUAAACUCUCCUCCGCAGGUAAACCUUUGUAAUGAAACCCAUCCUGCUUAUUAGCUUCCUCUGUCACACUGCUGGUUCUGUCAAUACCACUUGGAAUCACAGUAGAAGUGCAGGUUGAAGACCUCCAAUGAGAAAGGGGUAAAGAUAAUGGUCCGUGUCCGGCUGUAAGAGAUGACGCUCCUUUCGAGGAGUCCCCUGUUGAAGAUUGUGGACCUCUACAAAGAAACCACGUAAUAGUUGAACUCCAGAAGAUCGAAGUGAAAGUUGGAGUCUGGUUUCACAACUGCUUCUUUUAUCUUUAAUUCCCAGCGUUUAAUAAGUUGUCAUUGAACUAUAUUGCAAUGUUUUCUGUUCUUUUGUUUUCUUUUUAAAUCAGCCUUACUAAUUUCUCAACUGCAAUGCAGUAUUUUAAACCCCUAUUGAAUUGUUAUAAUGUUAUGAAUAUUAGUGCCAAUUAUUUCAUAUAAUGUUUCAAUUAAGCACUUGGCUUGCCUGGAAUAGUAUUCUUAUUUCCUCUUGACAACCUUCAUAUGUCAGGUCCAUGUAACUUUUUUUUUGGGCAAUUUUUUUUUUUUGGGGGCAAAGGUCCAUGUAACCUUUUCUUUAUUCCUUUAAGAUUGUCGUACUUGGGGCAAAACAAUGUCAUUGAUAUUAAUACCAAAUCCUUCGUACAUAGUUUUCAGGCAUCUUGCUGGCUUAAAGGUAAAACGUGGUAUUUACAAUUCUGCUUGAAAGAUUGAAAACCAAAAUAGAUUAGUUUGCAAUUUAUGUUACUAUGAUAAACAAAUGAGGAAAUUUGUACCUUUCUAUUAGCCUCAACUUUGAAACAAAGUAAUAUAUUAUGGUCGCUAACCACUAUCAAAUGGAUUGGAAAAAAUAUUUUCUCUUUCAACAUAUUUUUAUUUUUAUAUUUUUGAAUAAAUUUUCUUUACUAAGACCACAAAAUAAAUUAUAAAUUCAUUUAAAAAUAAAACAUACGAAUCCGGCGCGUAGCGCCGGAAAACCACUAGUUAUUUAUAAAAUACAUUUGUUUAUAUACUACCACUUGAGACUUAACUGUCUUUG
This 1580-nucleotide long non-coding RNA is filed under the name Brassica rapa (field mustard). RNAcentral's name for it is "long non-coding RNA (BRAP_LNC006326)". The record is from RNAcentral. Lineage: Eukaryota; Viridiplantae; Streptophyta; Magnoliopsida; Brassicales; Brassicaceae.